AUGUCUUCCAAAACAAUCCAGGUCUUCCGGACAAUUCGGGUCUUCCAGAAAAUCCAUGUCUUCCAAAAAAGCUAUGUCUUCCAUCAAAUCCAUAGCUUCCAGGAAAUCCACGUCUUCCAACAAAUUCAUGUCUUCCAGCCUUCCUACGUCUUCCAACAAAGCUAUGUCUUCCAGAAAAUCUAUGUCUUCCAACAGUCAUGUCUUCCAACAAAGCCAUGUCUUCCAGAAACCUGUCUUCCAGUGAAGCCAUGUCUUCCAUCAACUCUUUGUCUUCCUACACCUCCAGGGCUUCCAGCAUCUCCAGGGCUUCCAGCAUCUGCUCGUCUUCCACCAUCUCCACAUCUUCCAGCAUCUUCAGGUCUUCCUACAGCUACCCAGCCUUCCAUCAGCAGGCUCAAUAUCCACGUCUUCCAACAUCUCCACUGCACCAGCCUUCUAAUAUCCAGGUCUUCCACUGUCUGCAAUAUCCAGAUGGAUCUUUUCAAAAUAGCACAUGAGAGCCGGGGAAUUACUUCAGUGGUGCCUCCACCUGCCUCACAAGCGCAAGGUCCUGAGUUUAAUCCCUGGUGGGGCAAUAGCACAUGAUGAUGUUUUUUACUCCAUCUGGGAAUGUCUGCCUUUUAAUUCACACACUUUUCUUAUUU
Molecule: long non-coding RNA, 644 nt
Filed under: Fukomys damarensis (Damara mole-rat)
Lineage: Eukaryota; Metazoa; Chordata; Mammalia; Rodentia; Bathyergidae
Description: lncRNA (ENSFDAG00000022652.1)
Source: RNAcentral